This is a non-coding RNA of Eumeta japonica, 97 nucleotides long. NCBI's taxonomy places the organism in Eukaryota, Metazoa, Arthropoda, Insecta, Lepidoptera, Psychidae. The record is from the annotation of a GenBank genome assembly.
ACGUCCACACCACGAUCAGUGUGCCGGCUCUCGUCCGAUCACUGAAGUUAAACAGCGUCGGCCGCGGCUAGCACUUGGAUGGGUAACCACUCGGGGA